This 429-nucleotide ribosomal RNA is filed under the name bacterium. RNAcentral's name for it is "partial 16S ribosomal RNA". It matches the Rfam family "Bacterial small subunit ribosomal RNA", at positions 355 to 776 of the family's 1533-position model. The record is from RNAcentral.
UAGGGAAUCUUCGGCAAUGGGGGCAACCCUGACCGAGCAACGCCGCGUGAGUGAAGAAGGUUUUCGGAUCGUAAAGCUCUGUUGUAAGAGAAGAACGUGUGUGAGAGUGGAAAGUUCACACAGUGACGGUAACUUACCAGAAAGGGACGGCUAACUACGUGCCAGCAGCCGCGGUAAUACGUAGGUCCCGAGCGUUGUCCGGAUUUAUUGGGCGUAAAGCGAGCGCAGGCGGUUUAAUAAGUCUGAAGUUAAAGGCAGUGGCUUAACCAUUGUUCGCUUUGGAAGCUGUUAAACUUGAGUGCAGAAGGGGAGAGUGGAAUUCCAUGUGUAGCGGUGAAAUGCGUAGAUAUGUGGAGGAACACCGGUGGCGAAGGCGGCUCUCUGGUCUGUAACUGACGCUGAGGCUCGAAAGCGUGGGGAGCAAACAGG